GUGGCGGAAUAGGUCAGUGCAUCUGGCUGAUAACCAGAAGGUUGGUGGUUCAAGCCCACUCAGGUACA
Molecule: non-coding RNA, 68 nt
Organism: Podarcis lilfordi (Lilford's wall lizard)
Lineage: Eukaryota; Metazoa; Chordata; Lepidosauria; Squamata; Lacertidae
Source: the annotation of a GenBank genome assembly